AGCGGAUGAGAGGAGCUUGCUCCUGGAUUCAGCGGCGGACGGGUGAGUAAUGCCUAGGAAUCUGCCUGGUAGUGGGGGACAACGUUUCGAAAGGAACGCUAAUACCGCAUACGUCCUACGGGAGAAAGCAGGGGACCUUCGGGCCUUGCGCUAUCAGAUGAGCCUAGGUCGGAUUAGCUAGUUGGUGAGGUAAUGGCUCACCAAGGCGACGAUCCGUAACUGGUCUGAGAGGAUGAUCAGUCACACUGGAACUGAGACACGGUCCAGACUCCUACGGGAGGCAGCAGUGGGGAAUAUUGGACAAUGGGCGAAAGCCUGAUCCAGCCAUGCCGCGUGUGUGAAGAAGGUCUUCGGAUUGUAAAGCACUUUAAGUUGGGAGGAAGGGCAGUAAAUUAAUACUUUGCUGUUUUGACGUUACCGACAGAAUAAGCACCGGCUAACUCUGUGCCAGCAGCCGCGGUAAUACAGAGGGUGCAAGCGUUAAUCGGAAUUACUGGGCGUAAAGCGCGCGUAGGUGGUUUGUUAAG
This 527-nucleotide ribosomal RNA is filed under the name Pseudomonas sp. Its description in RNAcentral is "bacterial SSU rRNA". It matches the Rfam family "Bacterial small subunit ribosomal RNA", at positions 65 to 587 of the family's 1533-position model. Lineage: Bacteria; Pseudomonadati; Pseudomonadota; Gammaproteobacteria; Pseudomonadales; Pseudomonadaceae. The record is from RNAcentral.